UGGAUUGGCAAUGGCACGGCGGCUGACGAAGGUGGUUGCAGACGGCGUCAGUAAUGGGUUUGCAGCGGCGAUAUGAGUGGCCAGAAUGUGGAUCGGCGCAGGAAAAUUGAGUGAUGAAGUGAUAGAAAGUGAGGAGAAUCCAGAUCGCGAUUGGUAUUGCUUAUAGUAAUAUUAUCAAACAGGUUGUGUGCAGCCCAAUGAUUUGACAAUGGAGAAAAUGAACAUGCUGG
Molecule: unclassified non-coding RNA, 230 nt
Filed under: Hevea brasiliensis (rubber tree)
Lineage: Eukaryota; Viridiplantae; Streptophyta; Magnoliopsida; Malpighiales; Euphorbiaceae
Source: RNAcentral